AGUGAACGCUGGCGGUAGGCCUAACACAUGCAAGUCGAACGGCAGCACAGUAAGAGCUGGCUCGUACGGGUGGCGAGUGGCGGACGGGUGAGGAAUACAUAGGAAUCUACUUUUUCGUGGGGGAUAACGUAGGGAAACUUACACUAAUACCUCAUACGACCUACGGGUGAAAGCAGGGGAUCUUCGGGUCUUGCUGGAUUGAAUGAGCCGAUGCCGGAUUAGCUAGUUGGCGGGGUAAAGGCCCACCAAGGCGACGAUCCGUAGCUGGUCUGAGAGGAUGAUCAGCCACCCUGGAACUGAGACACGGUCCAGACUCCUACGGGAGGCAGCAGUGGGGAAUAUUGGACAAUGGGCGCAAGCCUGAUCCAGCCAUACCGCGUGGGUGAAGAAGGCCUUCGGGUUGUAAAGCCCUUUUGUUGGGAAAGAAAAGCAGCAGGUUAAUACCCCGCUGUUCUGACGGUACCCAAAGAAUAAGCACCGGCUAACUUCGUG
This 492-nucleotide ribosomal RNA is filed under the name uncultured bacterium. RNAcentral describes it as "partial 16S ribosomal RNA". It matches the Rfam family "Bacterial small subunit ribosomal RNA", at positions 29 to 507 of the family's 1533-position model. The record is from RNAcentral.